RNAcentral lists this ribosomal RNA (253 nucleotides) under uncultured bacterium. Its description in RNAcentral is "partial 16S ribosomal RNA". It matches the Rfam family "Bacterial small subunit ribosomal RNA", at positions 524 to 776 of the family's 1533-position model. The record is from RNAcentral.
UACGGAGGGUGCAAGCGUUAUCCGGAUUCACUGGGUUUAAAGGGUGCGUAGGUGGGCAAGUAAGUCAGUGGUGAAAUCUCCGGGCUUAACCCGGAAACUGCCAUUGAUACUAUUUGUCUUGAAUACUGUGGAGGUCAGCGGAAUAUGUCAUGUAGCGGUGAAAUGCUUAGAUAUGACAUAGAACACCAAUUGCGAAGGCAGCUGGCUAGACCUGGAUUGACGCUGAGGCACGAAAGCGUGGGGAGCGAACAGG